UUUUGCCAGAGGCAUGAACGGGAGAUGACUCAGGCCUGACUGGUCUUACAAAGUGGGCUGAAUUGAGCUUCGUUUGUAUGACUGGACUGAUUUUGUCUCCUCGGCGUGUUUUCAAGCUUCCAUUAACGGUCAAGUUUCAAGUUCCGCAUGUGAGAACUUUGCUAGGUCUAACAGGCGUUUAACAGCCCCAUCUUAAGAGGACACCGUGAUCAACUUUUACGCGCAGAGAUAUGAAGGCGCGCCUCCCAGUCGGUAUUGCACCUGAGACGAACCCCAUUUGGGAAGAGGAAAUGUCUUCCUCCCCUACAGUUUUGGCGUAGUCGGCAGGAUGAAAUUUCACUGGCUGGACACUGCUUGCUCCUGGACUGCUGCGGCCUAGAGAUCCUGGACCCCUGACAAGAGCCGGCAAGAGGGCUGAUUGACAUGGCUUGCAUUGCAUAGUAAAAUGUCACUUACUCAUAGCAAAACUACUCAACAGAGAUGGGCCUGCCCUAGCAAGAAGAGAGGGGUGUUUCCAGAAGAUAUUCACAUUUGAAUCAGCAGACUGAGUAAAGAAGAUUGCCCUCACCAAUGCAGGUGGGCAUCAACCCAUCCACUGAGGGACUGAAUAGAACAAAGACAUGGAGGAAGGACAAAUUUACCAUCUGCGUGAGCUGAGACAUCCAUCCUCUCUUGCCCAUAGAUGUCGGCGCUUCUGGUUCUUGGGCCUUUGGGUUUGGAUUGGAACUACAUCACCAGCUUUCUUGGGUCUCCAGCUUGCUGACAGCAGAUGGUGGGAUUCCUCAGUCUCCAUAAUUACGUGAGCCAAUCGCUCAUAAUAAAUCUCUUUCUAUAUAUCUCCCCUCAUAUCUUAUUGGUUCUGUUUCUCUGGAGGACUCUGACUACUACCAUAGGCAAGUGGAUAUUCAAGUCUAGAACUGAAAGACCAUGCCUAAGUGGAUAAAAACUUGGAAAUCAUCAGCAUAUAAAUGAUACUUGAAACGACAGACUGGAUGAGAUCACCUCAGAGUCAAGUCUAGAGAAGAGAAAGAGACCCAGGAUGAGACCUGAUGAUAUUAUUCAAAUCUGUAUCUUAGCUUUCUUUUCAGUUUCAUUGAUCUUAUUAUUAUGAUAGUAAGAUAGUAUUUUAAUUAUAAUAGCUCUAUAGCAAGGCUUUAUACCUAUGAAAACAAAUCAUUACCUAUUACUUUUCUUUUUAAAGUAUUUUUGCAUUUCUUCCCAUCUAUACUUUCUAACAUAUAAACUUUUGUAUCACUUUACAAAAUCAAAAACUUCCUUUUUCUAUAUGAUACUAGUUAUGAUUGUGAAAGUUGGGUAUAAAAUGCAAUAACGUUGACAUUUAUUUGAUAUCACUGACAAACAAUUUUUGAGCUAGGCAAGUUAUUAGAGCUUCUCCAGCCUAUCAAGAUGAGGAUACUUAUGGGGACUAGGACUGGGUGAGUGGUCAAGAGAUAGCCUGGAGGGACAGAUUUCAUUCUGGGGUUGGCGAAGGGGAGGAGGCACACAAAUUGGGAGCCAUUGGAUAGACAUUCUGGCAAAUCUUUGGCAGUUAACACUGCCCUACUCCAGAUAGUGCCAAAGCAAAUGGAAUAUUUGGAACCAUUAAAGGAAAAUUCCAUCAUUUACAUUCAAAUUACAAGGAACUUGGUUAAAUUUGUGCACUAUGACUAUUUCUGAUAAUAGGUUUCAAUUUUUACUUUUACUUUUUAAAAGCCCCAAAUGUCAUCCAAACUCAGUGGAUUAGAAAAUAUUCAAGCUUUAGAAAAGUGAUACAGUCAAUUUUUAACUCAUUUUAAUAUGUAGUAUUGUGUUUAGGUGACGUUUUCUCUGUUCUCAUGAGGGGACUCUCCUUUUCCAGCCUCAUUUCUCCCAACUUGAAAUUUGGAGCGUAAUUUUCAAAGGAGCUAUUUGUGAUUUUGCAAGUUCUUCUCACUCUCCCUUUCGGUGCCUUUGUGCCUGUAGCUUUCUCCUUGCCUUGCUCCUUUCCCCUCUUCUUUUGUCUGGCUAACACCUACUCAUCUCUCAAAACCCAACUCAGAGAUCACAUUCUUUAUGAAGCUUCUAUGCCUUUUUCUGUUCUAGUGCCUUUUUUGUGUGCUUCCCAACUGUCCUGUAUUAUCUCUGUCACAGCAUUUAUGACAAUGUAUUGGAAUGUCUAUGUACUAACCUUGGACCUUCACUAGAAUGUGACCUCUUAGAAACUCCAGGAGGGUCUCUUUGAUCUCUGCAUCCCCAGCACCUAGCACAAGACCCAAGAGAGAUCGGACACUCACUAAAUAUUUGUUGAAUCAAUACACAGCCAAUCUGUCUUCUUAAGAAGAAUUCCACUUACGAGAAGAAAGAAGCUUUCUUCAAAUUUCACACUUUAAUAGGACACAUAACUCUGAAAUAUGAAAAAGAGAUUUAUGAAUGUACGGGUUGAAUGCAUUAGCUUGAAAUUCAUUUUCUCCUGUCAUCAACAUGGAACCAUUUCGAAGAGAAGUAGAUGUCAGAAGCUUAUGGAAUGUGAAUAGGAUAGCCAUAUAAAACCUUAUUUUUUCCAGGUUCUAAAGCUGCUGAUAGAUUUUAGAACUGAGAGGCUUGGAGCAGUGGAGAGAGUGUCACGCUCUUCAGGUAGACGUAGCUCGAAAAUGUGGUCCCCAGGACACACUCCUCGCAAAAAAGACAUCUUUUUCACAAUCUGGAAAAGACGUUUUAAAUUAUCUGAGGCCAAAGGUGUGAAAAAGAGCCUCCAAGCAGAGAGAAAAUAAAUGAUCUGCUUCACUGUUGAAUCUAGUGUUCUCAGGAAAUUGAAACUUGAAUUUCGUCUAAAUAUAAAGCAAUGGCAGAGCAGACCUUCUUGCUUUUCAUUCUCUGGCUUUUUGUCAGGUUGUGUUGGAAGAGAGAAUCUCUCAUUAUGUAACAGAAUUUCCCCUAAUGGAGCCUGCGGCAAACUUGAAACCAUACUUUGGUAUAUUGGAGAAAAAUAGGAACAGUAUUUUUUUUUUUAACUCAGAAAAAGUAGUACAUUGUCCCAAUUAAGUUCAUAGAGUAAUAGAGUAGCAAGGCUAGCAGGAAAUUUCAGUAUCUUUUAAUUCAACUUAUUGAUUUCACAAAUGAGGAAACAUUAAUAGAGUGAAGUAACUUGAUCUCAGAACCUUGAUAUUCUGAGGGCAUAGAUAGGUAAACAAAUAAUACAAAGCAUGGUAAAAAUACUUGAUAGAAUUGAUUGAAAAUAAGUCAAUGUUAGUUACUAGCACUGUACUUUUAUUUUGUGUGGGAAAUAUCUCCUUAUCUGUGAUGGCAAUCAUCAAAAUGUCCCUCCUUGUUAAUGAUAAAUGCUAUUUUGGCACAUGUAUACAUGGAAAGCAGGGUUCUGUUGAAUUGAAUGUCCAGUCUCUUGAAAAAUCGAUAAAGGCAGUGAGUUAGAAAAUGGAGAAAAUAUACAGAUGACCCAGUUGUAAGUUCCGAGGAGCACUGAGACCUCGUCAUAUAACCCCUACCUUUG
Equus caballus (horse) is the source of this 3487-nucleotide long non-coding RNA. The record is from Ensembl. NCBI's taxonomy places the organism in Eukaryota, Metazoa, Chordata, Mammalia, Perissodactyla, Equidae.